This 520-nucleotide non-coding RNA is filed under the name uncultured Glomus. RNAcentral's name for it is "SSU rRNA". It matches the Rfam family "Eukaryotic small subunit ribosomal RNA", at positions 569 to 1090 of the family's 1831-position model. The record is from RNAcentral. Lineage: Eukaryota; Fungi; Glomeromycota; Glomeromycetes; Glomerales; Glomeraceae. RNAcentral also lists the same sequence under 1 other name.
AGCAGCCGCGGUAAUUCCAGCUCCAAUAGCGUAUAUUAAAGUUGUUGCAGUUAAAAAGCUCGUAGUUGAAUUUCGGGGUUAGUAGGUUGGUCAUGCCUCUGGUAUGUACUGGUCUCACUGAUUCCUCCUUCCUGAUGAGCCGUAAUGCCAUUAAUUUGGUGUUGCGGGGAAUUUGGACUGUUACUUUGAAAAAUUAGAGUGUUUAAAGCAAGCUAACGCUUGAAUACAUUAGCAUGGAAUAAUGAAAUAGGACGUUCGAUCCUAUUUUGUUGGUUUCUAGGAUUGACGUAAUGAUUAAUAGGGAUAGUUGGGGGCAUUAGUAUUCAAUUGUCAGAGGUGAAAUUCUUGGAUUUAUUGAAGACUAACUACUGCGAAAGCAUUUGCCAAGGAUGUUUUCAUUAAUCAAGAACGAAAGUUAGGGGAUCGAAGACGAUCAGAUACCGUCGUAGUCUUAACCAUAAACUAUGCCGACUAGGGAUCGGAUGAUGUUAAUUUUUUAAUGUACUCAUUCGGCGCCUUA